UUAAGAUGUGGUCUGGUGGGAUUUCGGAUAGCCGUCCGAAGGUCGUUUCAUUAUUAAUUAUAUCUCAUGUGUACAUAUAUAGUCAUAAAAGUUCUUCCAUAUUCAUGUGUGCUAGUUACAUCAUUAAUAAGUUACCAUCGGGGUAGCACAGGAUCAUACUUAUACUAUUGCUAGAUCAUUGAGCCAGUUCAUUCACGAGUCAGUACUUAUUACUAUGAGAACAUAUACAUUACAUUACUAUGAGAACAUAUAAAACUAUACUAGAAGAAGAACAUAUACAACUAUACUAGAAGAAGAACAUAUACAACUAUACUAGAAAGAGAACAUAUACAACGAUACUAGAACGAGUAACAAUACAUUACAUAUACAUGAAUACGUUGACAAAAUUGUGAUCCACUGUAUCGAAGCAUGCCUUAAAUGUCAUGGCCCGAGUUGUAGCCAGAGUCACUUGGAGGGAGAGCGUGGGUUUGCGUAUAGAUCUAUACUGAAUUGAAUAUCCUACACCUUGCUGCUAGCUACAGCCGGACCUGCAGGUCUGCGGGUGCCAAAUGUCAUACCUUUUUUUACGACCUACAUUUGUCGUUGUUACCUAGUCGAUAGUAUGGUACAAUUAAUCACAUGAUACCUUAAUAUAAAUCCGGUUUAAGGUAGUUAGUACAACAGUAGUUCCUAUAAUACAACACUACAGUACCACAAUAAUUUACCCUUUACAUACAUUUAGUGAUCAUUUCACUUAAACAUUAAUGUACAAACUAUAUUUUGUUAAAUGAUAGUUACACUUGGAAAAAUUACACACUUUUACGAUAAACGAACAUAGAAAACAGUUACGCCUUGGUAGAGGGCUACUUUUAAUAGAAAAUAUAGGUUUUUCUGAGAGAUUCAAACUUUUACAAACACUUAUAAACAUUUACAUACUUUUAUCACCAAUGUUUACAAACUCAUGUUUAAAACCAUGUUCAAACGUUUUGAUACAAACACCGACACUAAAUUACUUAUGAACUCACCAGCUUAAUGCUGAUAAACUCUUUCAAAAUAACUUGUAUUCUCAGGUCGUCAGUAGACAGGUACCGAGGCCAGCUUUUGAGAAGAUGGAGCGCAUUCAAGACUCAUCUUAUUAUUUUGAUUUACUUUUUGGUGUCUAUAACUGUACAAAACACACUUGUAUUAAAAUUAUAUAUUUAAUGCAAUGGAUGAUGUUGUUUGCUUAUUUACUGUUAUACUGUGUUGUGAUACUUUACAUGACGUCCUCCGCCCCAGAACGUUUCCGCCGUUCUUGGUUUUGGGGUGUGACAGAUUGGUAUCAGAGCAUUGUUUAUAGUGAAUUGAGUAUAUCAACCCAUAAAAGAUAUACUAACUAUAAACCCAUUUGGGAUUAAAACACUCUGACCAAGAGUCUAUACUUUAAAUACUAAAAUAUUUAAUUAAGUAUACUAGUCUGCAUUCAUACUAAAAUUAGUGUCACAAUGACAAGAACAAAAGUAUUACAAUUGUUAAAUAUCAUAAGUGAGCUCGGGGAUGUAUGGUCAGUCCUGGGAAUGGCAUAGCCUGAUCAACUAUGCUGGUCCGAGGAGUGAUUAGCAUAUGCCCUAGAAUGGUUGUGAUAUGUUAACAAGUCUAAUAAGUUACUAACAAUACCAGAAGGAGAAUAGUAGAACCUAAAAUUAAAAUACUAUAGGGGUAUUUUGUGCUACUACAAGCUAUUUAUACACUAUAUUCUUAUACCUCUCUUCUCGCGUAGAUUUAAAUGGCUAGAUUCCAUCAUGGCGACCCGUACUUCCCAAAUGAAGGCAACGCUGGGUGGAUCGAAGAAGAGCCCGAAGAUGAGCAUCCAAUCCCUUUGGAUGAUCACCUCACAGAAGGAUUUUCUGAUGGAUCUGACUCUGAGCCUGAAGUCAACAACCUACCGCCAGUAGGUCAAGCUCCAAACAACAACCCUCGACCAGCUUUCCCAGGUCUCACACCCUUAUGGGCAACCAACUUAAAUCGUUGGAGUGACGAACAGGGUCAACCCUUACCUUACUUUGGGGACCGAAGCUUUUACAAUCUCAGCGAAGGUGGCUCUGCGGAUCGAGCUCUGCCUGUCAUUAUCCACAGAAUAGCUUGUAAUGUUGAGCAAGGUCGAGCAGCCAUUGACCGGGUCAUGGAGAUUGAUGCCAACUCUGGUGUCAACAUAGUUCGCAUUCGCCGUCUUGAAGAAGACAUGGAACGGACCAGGAGAACCAAUGAGACCCUGUAGCAACAGCUGGCUGCCACCCGAGCCGAAGUCAUGGAACUUCGAGCCCGUCAGAGGUCUCAUGAGCGACACCUUCAAGAAGUGGUUCGUCAAGUGGCAGACCUCAGGGUUCGCCCAAGGAAUUCCCAUCACCAUUAGAAGAUGCCUAGUACAUCUUUGUCUUUUGGUUAAGGAAUAGCCUUUAGUAUUUGUGCUCUAAGUAGCACUUGUCUGUAAAAUAUUCCUAAAUUCAGUACUCUAAUUAGGAAUCUAGGAACUGUCAAACUUUCUGUAUGGUAUGAUGUAAGACCCAUUGUUAGGUCGAUUUUCCCUGAACUUAUUACAUCAGUAAUACCAGUAUUAUUGACAACUACCUAAUCUGUGGGAAAAGUCUGUACACUUGUGUCUACCUACUAUUCUUCUAUGUUGUGAUCUCAAAACACUCAUUCAACUGUUGGGCUAUGGUUAGAUAGUCCAUGUGUCACUCUCACCCCACUUACAAUUGAUUCCUACCAUUGUGUUUAUCUUUAUAAACUUAUAGCUGAAAGAUGCCUCCUCGCAAAUCUCCAAUGAAUAACCCUUCACCUCCUCCUCCUCCUCCUCCGGUCAUCGAUACUACAGCCCUGAAUGCUGCCGUAGCUGUAGCAGUGGCNNNNNNNNNNNNNNNNNNNNNNNNNCCCCUGUUGACUCUAUUCCUGCUGAAAUCCCUGUGCGCUCGAGAGUGUGCUCCUACAAGGAUUUCACCAACUGUAAGCCGAAGUCCUUCCAGGGAACCGGCGGAGUCAUUGUCCUCUCGCAAUGGUUCGAGAAGACUGAAUCAGUCUUCGAAAUUUGUUCGUGCCCUACUGCGAGCAAAGUCAAAUAUGCCGCAUGCACCUUUGAAGGAAAAGCUCUGACGUGGUGGAACGACCACGUUAAAGCGCUAACUCUCGUAGUGGCGAAUGACAUGGGUUGGGAAACCAUGAAGGAUCUCAUGAUAGAGGAAUACUUCCCGAGGAGCGAAAUCCAGAAAUUGGAGCAGGAACUGUGGAGCCUAACCAUGAAGGGCUUCGACGUAGUCUCAUAUACCGCCAGAUUCAGCGAACUGGUGGCCCUCUGCCCCAAUAUGGUUCUCACUGAAGGGAAAAAGAUCGAGAGGUACAUAUGGGGGCUAGUGCCUCCGUACCAGGGGAGCCCUAUCAUNGACAGUGCCAAGCGACUGGCACAGAGACUCAUUGACCAUGGGCUUAAAACCCCUGCAGCAACAACAACCCUAGCCAUCUCAGAACCCUCCAAACCCGCUGACACUAAGCAGAAGUUCUGGGAGGAGAAGAAGAAACAACGAGUUGCCAAAAAGCAGCAAAUUGUGGCAGUGCAUGCCGCCAUAACCCCUGCUGCUGCUACUGCUCCGGUGGGGCAGUAUGCUGGAAGUUUGCCUAAGUGCAACAAAUGCAGCUACCACCACAACGGCCCUUGCCGUGAAAUGCAGUGCUCUAACUGUAACAGGAAAGGACACACAGUCCGUUUCUGUAAAUCUCCGGCGAGGCCGAUCGCCUAAGUCCCCGGCUCUGGCGUGAGCCAGACCUGCUAUAGAUGUGGUGAAGCGGGCCACUAUAAGAGGGACUGGCCCAAAGCGAAGAAUGCUGGCGAAGCAGGGAGGGUAUUAGCAAUAGGCCAUGGGGAAGCAGUUGCUGACCCGACGGUGGUGACUGGUACGUUCCUCCUCGAUAACUCCUAUGCAUGCAUUCUGUUCGAUAGUGGAGCGGAGCGAAGCUUCGUGAACCACAAAUUUGAUCGCAUGCUUAAACAACAACCACACACACUUAAAGAACAAUUCACAGUAGAAAUGGCUAAUGGAAAAACAGAAAGCACAAAUAGAAUAUACUUAGGAUGUACCCUAACUCUAGAUAACCAUUCAUUUCCAAUCAACCUUAUGUCGUUAUCGAUUAAAAGCAUCGACGUUAUCAUCGGCAUGGAUUGGUUAAGUCUUCAUCCCACCGACAUCAUGUGAUACGAGAAAGCAGUCCGUCUAAACCUCCCGUCUAACGAAACUCUUAUCGUCUACGGCGACAAACCCGGUGCGAGUCUUCGUAUUAUAUCAAGUAUUCAAGCACAGAAGUAUCUACGUAAAGAAUACCAUGCAUUCCUUGCUCACGUUGUCGAUACGAGCCUCGAAAUGAAAGAACUAAAGAACAUUCUAGUAGUGAGGGACUUUCCCGACAUCUUCCCAGAAGAGCUACCAGGAUUACCUCCGCAACGACAGGUCGAGUUCAGAAUCGACUUAGUCCCAGGAGCUACCCCAGUAGCCAAGUCACCCUACCGAUUAGCACCAACAGAGAUGCAGGAACUAUCUGGUCAACAUAACGAACUGCUCAGCAAGGGCUUUAUAAGACCAAGUUUCUCGCCUUGGGGAGCACCUGUCUUGUUCGUUAAGAAGAAAAACGGAUCAUUGCGUAUGUGUAUCGACUACAGAGAACUCAACAAACUAACGGUCAAGAAUCAUUACCCUAUGCCUCGCAUAGACGAUCUAUUUGACCAUCUGCAAGGGGCGAACUACUUUUCCAAAAUUGAUCUAAGAUCCGGAUAUCACCAGUUAUGAGUGCUAGAGGAGGAUGUUCUAAAGACAGCCUUCCGAACUCGUUACUGACACUACGAGUUCGUGGUGUUGCCAUUCAGAUUGACCAACGCGCCCGCAGUUUUCAUGGAUCUGAUGAAUAGAGUAUGCCGACCUUAUUUGGAUCAGUUCGUCAUUGUCUUCAUCGAUGACAUCCUGAUCUACUCCCGAAGUAAGGAAGAGCAUGGCGAUCACCUGCGACAAGUUCUAGGAACUUUACGAACGGAGAAGCUCUAUGCGAAGUUCUCUAAAUGUGAAUUUUGGAUCCGAAGAGUCGAAUUCUUAGGACACAUGGUAAGUGAAGAGGGAAUCCAUGUGGACCCAUCCAAAAUUAAGGCCAUUGAGAACUGGUCAGCACCGAAGACGCCUACAGAAAUUCGUCAAUUUCUAGGUCUCGCUGGCUAGUACCGCAGGUUCAUACAGAACUUCUUCCGAAUUGCAAAACCUCUUACAACGCUAACCCAAAAAGGCGUGACCUUUGACUGGGAAGAUAAACAGGAUAGAGUGUUCCAAACAAUCAAGCGAGCCUUGUGCACCGCACCAAUACUAUCCCUCCCCGAAGGGAUAGAAGACUUUAUUGUCUAUUGCGACGUGUCAAAUCAAGGGCUCGGUUGUGUUCUGAUGCAACGGGGUAAGGUCAUCGCCUACGCCUCGAGACAGCUGAAGACACACGAAGUUAACUACACGACCCACGAUCUUGAGCUAGGAGCAGUUGUGUUUGCUCUGAAGAUCUGGAGACAUUACUUGUAUGGAACGAAAAGCACUAUCUUUACCGACCACAAGAGUUUACAACACAUAUUCGAUCAGAAGGAGCUCAACAUGAGACAACAACGGUGGGUCGAGCUACUCGGUGACUACGAAUGAGAAAUUCGUUAUCAUCCGGGUAAAGCCAACGUAGUACCAGACGCCCUAAGUCGGAAGGAAUAUUCUGGUCGAAGAGUCAAGUCAUUGACAAUGACUAUCCAUUCACACUUGUCUAAGCAAAUUCAGGCGGCUCAGCUUGAUGCCAUGAAACCUGAAAACGUGACGAGUGAAUCCCUUAGAGGAAUGGAUAAAAAUUUAGAAGCCGAGGGUGGUCGAGCCUUAUAUUUCAUGAACCGGAUCUGGACACCGAAACACGGUGGUUUCCGAGACUUGGUCAUGACCGAGGCGCACAACACUCGGUAUUCCGUCCACCCAGGUUCAGAUAAGAUGUAUCUGGAUCUUAAAAAGCUAUACUGGUGGCCUAAUAUGAAAGUAGAGAUUGCUACCUUCGUAAGUAAAUGCUUACUUGCGCAAAGGUUAAGGUCGAGUACCAGAAGCCCUCCGGUUUACUACAACAACCAGAGAUUCCAGAAUGGAAAUGGGAGCGGAUCACUAUGGAUUUCAUAACCAAUUUGCCCAAGAUAACGAGUGGACUUGAUACCAUAUGGGUCAUCGUCGAUAGAUUGACUAAGUCUGCACACUUCCUGCCUAUCAAAGAAACUGACAAGAUGGAGAAGCUUACGAGAACAUACAUUAGGGAAAUCGUACGACUACAUGGUGUACCUAUAUCCAUUAUCUCCGAUAGAGAUAGUAGGUUCACCUCAAGAUUCUGGCAAUCGCUACAACAUUCCCUGGGAACAAGGCUGGACAUGAGCACAGCCUACCAUCCACAGACCGACGGACAAAGUGAGAGGACCAUCCAAACACUGGAAGAUAUGUUGAGAGCAUGUGUGAUUGACUUUGGAAAGGCAUGGGAUACUCAUUUACCCCUUGUCAAAUUUUCCUACAAUAACAUUUAUCACACGAGCAUCAAGGCUGCUCCAUUUGAAGCCCUCUAUGGCCGAAAGUGCAGAUCCCCUCUGUGCUGGGCUGAAGUAGGUGAUAACCAAUUAGCUAAGAGGCAAGUUUCUGACAGUACUCUCACAUGCCCGAAAAUCAUUCGGGACACGACAGAGAAGAUCGUCAGAUCCAUGAACGAUUGAAAGCCUCUAGAGACCGACAAAAGAGCUACGCGGAUAAGCGAAGGAAACCUUUGGAAUUUCAGGUGGGAGACCGAGUCCUUCUUAAAGUCUCAUCCUAGAAGGGCUUGAUACGCUUCGGUAAGCGUGGGAAGCUUAAUCCGAGAUAUAUAGGUACCUUUGAGAUUCUCGCAAGAAUCGGCCUUGUAGCUUACAAACUCAACCUACCCGACGAACUUCAUAACAUACAUUCUACAUUCCACAUAUCUAACUUGAAAAAGUGUCUGUCCGACGAGACUCUUGUAAUCCCACUCGACGAGAUCGAGAUCAACGAGAGCCUCAACUUCGUGGAAGAACCAGUAGAGAUCAUGGACCGAGAAGUCAAGCAGACGAAGCAAAGCCGUAUCCCGAUUAUGUAGGUUCGCUGGAACGUCAAGCGAGGACCGGAAUUCACUUGGGAGCGUGAGGAUCAGAUGAAACUGAAAUAUCCUCAUCUUUUUGCUUUGUUAUUUGUACUACUUUAUUUGUUUAGACUUUAAUUUCGGGACGAAAUUCCCUUUAACAGGGGGAUGAUGUGACAACCCGAAAUUUCCAUUCGGUAAAACCCUAAAAGUCAACCACUUCGUAUCAUAAGUGAAUGUCAUUAUUUCUUAUUUUUAAGAAAUAUAAAGUUCGUUUGAUUAUUUUAAUAUUAUUUUUAAACGAACGGGUGAAAGAAAGUGUUGUCUCGGGUUUUGAAUUUUAAAAACCUUAAACACCCUAAAGUGUGUUUAAAUGAGUCAUUUUCCUUCCUUAGGCCUAAAAACUAACUUAGACAAUUACCUAGUUGUGUUAAGGACUUGAAAACAUGGCAAUACCCUUUUCCAUACGGGUGUACAGUAGUAAACCCAAUGGGAAAUGACCAUGAGGCCGUAAACUCCUCUUAGGAGUGUUUUUGUUGCCCUAGUCCCAUCCAAAGGCCAAACCACCUAGUAGAAAUGCUUCAAAAGGCUUGUUAAACCACAAAACAACACAUGGUCGAUAGGACUAGAGUUUACGACCGUAAACUCUAGAGUUUACUGCCGUAAACUCCUUAGGUUAUGACCAUCAAAACCGUAAACUCCAAGGGAGUUUACCCUUGAACUCCAAACACAAGGCCGUCCACCCUAUUUCCUUUUCGCGCUUAAGAUGUGGUCUGGUGGGAUAUCGGAUAGCCGUCCGAAGGUCGUUUGAAUAUUAAUUAUAUAUCAUGUGUACAUAUAUAGUAAUAAAAGUUCUUCCAUAUCCAUGCGUACUAGUUACAUCUUUAGUAAGUUACCAUCGGGGUAGCACAGGAUUAUUCUUAUACUAUUGCUAGAUCAAUGAGUUAGUUCAUUCAUGAGUCAGUACUUAUUACUAUGAGAACAUAUACAUUACAUUACUAUGAGAACAUAUACAACUAUACUAGAAGAAGAAC
RNAcentral lists this long non-coding RNA (8162 nucleotides) under Lactuca sativa (garden lettuce). Its description in RNAcentral is "long non-coding RNA (LSAT_LNC007467)". Lineage: Eukaryota; Viridiplantae; Streptophyta; Magnoliopsida; Asterales; Asteraceae. The record is from RNAcentral.